GCACCCAUAGCUCAACUGGCAGAGCAACAGACUCUUAAUCUGCAGGUUGUAGGUUCGACUCCUACUGGGUGCA
This 73-nucleotide transfer RNA is filed under the name Gemmatimonadaceae bacterium. RNAcentral's name for it is "tRNA-Lys". It matches the Rfam family "tRNA". From Rfam's summary of the family: Transfer RNA (tRNA) molecules are approximately 80 nucleotides in length. Their secondary structure includes four short double-helical elements and three loops (D, anti-codon, and T loops). RNAcentral also lists the same sequence under 3 other names. Lineage: Bacteria; Pseudomonadati; Gemmatimonadota; Gemmatimonadia; Gemmatimonadales; Gemmatimonadaceae. The record is from RNAcentral.